AUUGAACGCUGGCGGCAGGCCUAACACAUGCAAGUCGAGCGGAUGAAGGGAGCUUGCUCCUGGAUUCAGCGGCGGACGGGUGAGUAAUGCCUAGGAAUCUGCCUGGUAGUGGGGGAUAACGUCCGGAAACGGGCGCUAAUACCGCAUACGUCCUGAGGGAGAAAGUUGGGGAUCUUCGGACCGCACGCUAUCAGAUGAGCCUAGGUCGGAUUAGCUAGUUGGUGGGGUAAAGGCCUACCAAGGCGACGAUCCGUAACUGGUCUGAGAGGAUGAUCAGUCACACUGGAGCUGAGACACGGUCAAGACGCCUACGGGAGGCAGCAGUGGGGAAUAUUGGACACUGGGCGAAAGCAUGAUCCAGCCAUGCCGCGUGUGUGAAGAAGGUCUUCGGAUUGUAAAGCACUUUAAGUUGGGAGGAAGGGCAGUAAGUUAAUACCUUGCUGUUUUGACGGUACCAACAGAAGAAGCACCGGCUAACUACGUG
Molecule: ribosomal RNA, 484 nt
Filed under: uncultured bacterium
Lineage: Bacteria
Description: partial 16S ribosomal RNA
Rfam family: Bacterial small subunit ribosomal RNA
Source: RNAcentral